UGGCGUGUCGUUCAGCUCGUGCCGUGAGGUGUCGGGUUAAGUCCCAUAACGAGCGCAACCCCUACCCUUUAGUUGCCAUCAGGUUAAGCUGGGGACGUCUAAAGGAACUGCCUACGCAAGUAGUGAGGAAGGCGGGGAUGACGUCAAAUCAGCACGGCCCUUACGUCCAGGGCUACACACGUGCUACAAUGGCCGAUACAGAGGGCAGCUACCUGGUGACAGGAUGCAAAUCUCCAAAGUCGGUCUCAGUUCGGAUCGGAGUCUGCAACCCGACUCCGUGAAGUUGGAUUCGCUAGUAAUCGCGCAUCAGCCAUGGCGCGGUGAAUACGUUCCCGGGCCUU
Molecule: ribosomal RNA, 341 nt
Filed under: uncultured Sphingobacteriales bacterium
Lineage: Bacteria; Pseudomonadati; Bacteroidota; Sphingobacteriia; Sphingobacteriales
Description: bacterial SSU rRNA
Rfam family: Bacterial small subunit ribosomal RNA
Source: RNAcentral